GCAGAGCUGUGGAGGGAGCAGUGUGCUGCAUGAUCACAUCACUUGCAGUUGACACAUGCUUCUUCAAAGUGGCUGUAUGCACAGCAGCAUAAUGAGAACAGUUUAAGCUCAGAGAAUAUACAACACUGUGUACAGUCUGUGACAAGAGUUCUAUCAUGAAAUUGAAUCAGAAUGGCAUUUAUGUACAAUGAAUGAUGAGACAACACUUGAUCAGCUCUGAUACAUGUACAGAUGUAUGAUAUAUCAAAGUCAGAGACAGCAAGCAGAGCAUGGAAUUGAGAACUAUGACAAAAUAUACUCAGCUGAGAAUUGCUGACAUAUAUUGUGUCAUACUCUGAUCAUUUCUGCCACUCAUCUUGAUGUUCAGCAGCUGAAUGAUAUGAGUCAAUCAACUCAGUCUGAGUCAGAUUGUGCUGAAUGAUGACAGAAUUGUAUGAAACAAGAGCUCUUGCAUUAUAAUCAGUUUUCUAUACUGUACAGUAGAGAAGCAGAGAAGUACUCACAUUUAUUCACUGUGUAUGAAAAGAGAAGAGAAGUGACACUGUGAGAGAGACUGUGAAAGAGAGCUGAUCUUCUUUUUUGUGAAAAAAAAAAUCAAAAAUCUGUUCUCUGAUUAUAUACACAAGUCUCUGUCAGUGUUCUUCUUCUUUGGUAUGAUGAAAUGAACAUUCCAUGCAGUGUAUGGAGUGGAAAAACAACAAGAGUAUGAUAGAUUCUGAUGCAAAAGAGGUUGUAUGUACUGUGGAUGAUGAUGAUGAAGCUGAAGAGAGGAAGAGAAAAGAAGUUGAGAAGAGAGACAGAGAAAGAGAGAAUUUUAUAAUUAAUUUAUUGUUGUUAUUAUUGUGAAUGAAAAAGAAAAGUGAGAAUGUCUUGUGUAUGAAAGA
Molecule: small RNA, 884 nt
Filed under: Histoplasma ohiense
Lineage: Eukaryota; Fungi; Ascomycota; Eurotiomycetes; Onygenales; Ajellomycetaceae
Description: hypothetical lncRNA
Source: RNAcentral